GACGAACGCUGGCGGCGCGCUUAACACAUGCCAGUCGAGCGAUGAAAUUUCGACAGAUCCCUUCGGGGUGAAGAUGAAAUGGAUUAGCGGCGGACGGGUGAGUAACACGUGAGUAACCUGCCUUUGACAUUGGGAUAGCCUCGGGAAACUGGGAUUAAUACCAAAUGACACUAACUGAUCACAUGAUCAAUUAGUCAAAGAAAUUCGGUCAAAGAUGGACUCGCGGCUGAUUAGCUAGUUGGUGAGGUAACGGCCCACCAAGGCGACGAUCAGUAGCCGGCCUGAGAGGGUGAUCGGCCACAUUGGAACUGAGACACGGUCCAAACUCCUACGGGAGGCAGCAGUGGGGAAUAUUGCACAAUGGGGGAAACCCUGAUGCAGCGACGCCGCGUGAGCGAAGAAGGCCUUCGGGUCGUAAAGCUCUUUUAUGAGGGAAGAUAUUGACGGUACCUCAAGAAAAAGCCCCGGCUAACUACGUG
This 479-nucleotide ribosomal RNA is filed under the name uncultured bacterium. Its description in RNAcentral is "partial 16S ribosomal RNA". It matches the Rfam family "Bacterial small subunit ribosomal RNA", at positions 28 to 507 of the family's 1533-position model. The record is from RNAcentral.